CCUACGUGAGGCAGCAGUAGGGAAUCUUCCACAAUGGGCGAAAGCCUGAUGGAGCAACGCCGCGUGGGUGAAGAAGGUCUUCGGAUCGUAAAACCCUGUUGUUAGAGAAGAAAGUGCGUGAGAGUAACUGUUCACGUUUCGACGGUAUCUAACCAGAAAGCCACGGCUAACUACGUGCCAGCAGCCGCGGUAAUACGUAGGUGGCAAGCGUUAUCCGGAUUUAUUGGGCGUAAGGGGAACGCAGGCGGUCUUUUAAGUCUGAUGUGAAAGCCUUCGGCUUAACCGGAGUAGUGCAUUGGAAACUGGGAGACUUGAGUGCAGAAGAGGAGAGUGGAACUCCAUGUGUAGCGGUGAAAUGCGUAGAUAUAUGGAAGAACACCAGUGGCGAAAGCGGCUCUCUGGUCUGUAACUGACGCUGAGGUUCGAAAGCGUGGGUAGCAAACAGGAUUAGAUACCCUAGUAGUC
RNAcentral lists this ribosomal RNA (465 nucleotides) under uncultured bacterium. RNAcentral's name for it is "partial 16S ribosomal RNA". It matches the Rfam family "Bacterial small subunit ribosomal RNA", at positions 338 to 795 of the family's 1533-position model. The record is from RNAcentral.